This 850-nucleotide ribosomal RNA is filed under the name Alternaria tenuissima. Its description in RNAcentral is "partial large subunit ribosomal RNA". It matches the Rfam family "Eukaryotic large subunit ribosomal RNA", at positions 68 to 936 of the family's 3401-position model. RNAcentral also lists the same sequence under 1 other name. The record is from RNAcentral. Lineage: Eukaryota; Fungi; Ascomycota; Dothideomycetes; Pleosporales; Pleosporaceae.
ACAGGGAUUGCCCUAGUAACGGCGAGUGAAGCGGCAACAGCUCAAAUUUGAAAUCUGGCUCUUUUAGAGUCCGAGUUGUAAUUUGCAGAGGGCGCUUUGGCUUUGGCAGCGGUCCAAGUUCCUUGGAACAGGACGUCACAGAGGGUGAGAAUCCCGUACGUGGUCGCUGGCUAUUGCCGUGUAAAGCCCCUUCGACGAGUCGAGUUGUUUGGGAAUGCAGCUCUAAAUGGGAGGUACAUUUCUUCUAAAGCUAAAUAUUGGCCAGAGACCGAUAGCGCACAAGUAGAGUGAUCGAAAGAUGAAAAGCACUUUGGAAAGAGAGUCAAACAGCACGUGAAAUUGUUGAAAGGGAAGCGCUUGCAGCCAGACUUGCUUACAGUUGCUCAUCCGGGUUUCUACCCGGUGCACUCUUCUGUAGGCAGGCCAGCAUCAGUUUGGGCGGUAGGAUAAAGGUCUCUGUCACGUACCUCCUUUCGGGGAGGCCUUAUAGGGGAGACGACAUACUACCAGCCUGGACUGAGGUCCGCGCAUCUGCUAGGAUGCUGGCGUAAUGGCUGUAAGCGGCCCGUCUUGAAACACGGACCAAGGAGUCUAACAUCUAUGCGAGUGUUUGGGUGUCAAGCCCGAGCGCGUAAUGAAAGUGAACGGAGGUGGGAACCCGCAAGGGUGCACCAUCGACCGAUCCUGAUGUCUUCGGAAGGAUUUGAGUAAGAGCAUGGCUGUUGGGACCCGAAAGAUGGUGAACUAUGCUUGAAUAGGGUGAAGCCAGAGGAAACUCUGGUGGAGGCUCGCAGCGGUUCUGACGUGCAAAUCGAUCGUCAAAUUUGGGCAUAGGGGCGAAAGACUAAUC